AAUAAAGGUAUUUUGUCCAACUACAACUAAAAAAUAAAUAUUAAAAAAAAAAAAGCUGGGGCUAUAGCUCAGUGGACAAGCACCUCUGGGUUCAAUCCCCUGCCCCACCCCCCAAAAAGUAAAUGGUACUCAGAGAAACCUUAGAAUUUUUAAUCUUAUUUUGGAUAAUUUUAGACCUAUAAAAAAGUUGCAAAAAUAGUGCAACAUGUAACUUCUUCACUCAGUUCCCCAAAUGUUAACAUCUUUCAUAACCGUGAUUUAUUGGUGGAAACCAAGAAAUUUGCCUUGAUACCACACUAUUAAAUAAUCUACAAUUUUUAUUUGGAUUUUUCUGUUUUUUCCCAUUAAUGCUCUUUUUCUGGUUUCAGAUCUAAUCCUGAAUUUCAUUGCAUUAGUUGUCAUUUCACAUUAUAUUUUCCCAGUCUGAGACUGUUCCUCAGUCUGUGUGUGUAUGUAUGAUUUCUUGAACAUAUUUGAAGAAAAAUGGUAAGUUAUCUCUCCUUCUCCUUCAGAAACUGUCCCUCCAUUUGGAUUUGUUCAAUGCUUUCUCAUGAGUAUACUGAGAUUAUGCAUUUGGAUUUGUUGUGUGCUUUCUCAUGAGUAGAAAUGGGGUUAUGCAUUUUUGGCAAAAAUACAUAGAAGUAAUGUGCCCUCCAAGAGAAUUUUUUAAAAUAAAUUUGGGAUGGGGAAGAUAUUUUUAUAUAUGAUAACAAAACACAAAGUCUGGGCUGGGGAUUUAGCUUAGUUGGUAAGAGUGCCUGCCUCACAUGCACAAGGCGUGGGUUCAAUCCCCAGCACUGCAAAUAAAUAAACCACAGAAUCCAUAAAAGGAAAAUACUGGUAUAUUUAAAAGUAUAUUAAAAGUGUGGAAAGUUGGGGUUGUGGCUCAGUAGUAGAGUGCUUGCCUAGCAUGUAUGAGGUACUUGGUUUAACUUUCAGCAUCACAUAUAAAUAAAUGAAUAAAAUAAAGGUCCAUCAACAUUUAAAAAUAUAUUUUUUAAAGAAAUGUGGGAUCUGGGUACAGUGGGGCAUGCCUUUAAUCUCAGUGACUGCGGAGCCUCUGAGGCAGGGGAAUCCUAAGUUUGAGGCUUGUCUUAACAAAUUAGUGAGUCCUUAAGCAACUUGGUAAAACCCUGUCUCAAAAAAAGUUAAAAUAAAUAUAGAGGACUGGAGAUAUGGCUCAGUGGUUCAGCCCCCCGGGGUUCAAUCCCCAGUACCAAAAUUAAUUAAUUAAUUAAUUAAUUGGGGACUAUGGGUGUAGCUCAGUGAUAAAAGUAUGAACUUAGCAUGCAUAAAGGCCUGUGAUCAAUUCUCAGGAAGGAAAAAAAAAUAUUUAUAUCUAUCUAUCUAUCUAUAUAUAUAUAUAUGAAAAGCCUGAACAAUCCAAUAAAAAUGUACAAAAAUUUUCACAGACAUUUCACAGAUAAGAAAAUACAAAGAGGGGCUGAAGUUGUGACUCAAUGGUAGAGCACUUGCCUAGCUCGCAUGAGGUGCUGGGUUUGAUCCUCAGCACCACAUAAAAAUAAAUAAAUAAAUAAAUAAAAAUUGUGUCCAUCCACAGUAAUAUUAAAAAAAAAAAGAAAGAAAAAAAAUACAAAGAGCAAGAUGUGGUGGCGCACACCCGUAAUCCCAGCAGCUUGGGAGGCUCCGGCAGGAGCAUCACAAGUUCAAAGCCAGCCUCAACAAUUUAAGCAACUCAGUGAGACUGUCUCUAAAUAAUACACAAAAGGGCGUAGGGGAUGUGGCUUAGUGAGUGCCCCUGAGUUCAGUCCCCGGUACCCCCUCCCCUCGAAAAAAAGAAAAUACAAAGAACUGUCACACAUGAAAAGAUGCCUUACAUUCACAAUAUGAGAAAUACAAGUCAUGUCUAAUUUUGUGUGUGUGUGUGUAUGUGUGUGUGUGUGUGUGUGUGUAUGACCUAAAAGUUUCAUAGGUAAACAGGCCUCACCUGUUUGUUGGUGGGACUAAAAAUUGGUAACACAUUCAUAGAGAGCAAUUUGGCAAAGUCCAUCAAAAUCAAAUCAGUCAAAAUUACUAACACCCAUAUCUUUUGACUUAGGAUUUUCACGUCUAGGAAUUAACCCAACAUUUUCACAGGGGUGAAAUGGAAAUGUGUAGAUUAAUCUUUGCCUUCACUUGUGUUGGCAAAAGAUUAGAAACAUCCUAAAUGAGUGUCUACAGGAGAUUUGUUGAAUUAUGAUACAUCCGUGCCAUGGAAUAGUAUGCAUCCAGAAACUAAUUUGUGC
RNAcentral lists this long non-coding RNA (2246 nucleotides) under Marmota monax (woodchuck). The stretch from base 731 to 794 matches the Rfam family "tRNA". Lineage: Eukaryota; Metazoa; Chordata; Mammalia; Rodentia; Sciuridae. The record is from RNAcentral.